This 492-nucleotide ribosomal RNA is filed under the name uncultured bacterium. Its description in RNAcentral is "partial 16S ribosomal RNA". It matches the Rfam family "Bacterial small subunit ribosomal RNA", at positions 29 to 507 of the family's 1533-position model. The record is from RNAcentral.
AUUGAACGCUGGCGGCAUGCUUUACACAUGCAAGUCGAACGGUAACAGGCCUUCGGGUGCUGACGAGUGGCGAACGGGUGAGUAAUGCAUCGGAACGUACCCAGAGGUGGGGGAUAACGCAGCGAAAGCUGUGCUAAUACCGCAUGUGGUCUGAGGAUGAAGGCGGGGGACCGAGCAGCAAUGUUUGGCCUCGCGCCUUUGGAGCGGCCGAUGUCGGAUUAGCUAGUUGGUGGGGUAAAGGCCUACCAAGGCGACGAUCCGUAGCUGGUCUGAGAGGACGACCAGCCACACUGGGACUGAGACACGGCCCAGACUCCUACGGGAGGCAGCAGUGGGGAAUUUUGGACAAUGGGCGCAAGCCUGAUCCAGCAAUGCCGCGUGCGGGAAGAAGGCCUUCGGGUUGUAAACCGCUUUUGGCAGGAACGAAACGGUGUCCGCUAAUACCGGGCGCUAAUGACGGUACCUGCAGAAUAAGCACCGGCUAACUACGUG